Long non-coding RNA from Lotus japonicus, 818 nucleotides. RefSeq lists it as uncharacterized. Lineage: Eukaryota; Viridiplantae; Streptophyta; Magnoliopsida; Fabales; Fabaceae. The record is from RefSeq and is a predicted model, not a curated record. The transcript has 2 exons.
UAGUACCUCUAGCAUAAUUGUUACAUAGUUGAGUUUCUUAAGCAUUUAGUUGAACGUUUGAUUCUUAUACAAUUUAUAUGGAAAAGAAUUUGUUGAAAGAGACCUAACAAUUUAAUUUAAUGUGAUCUGAGAACAUUGAAAAAAUUGUCUUAUGGAUGCCGAUUGUAGGAUACCUGGCUAAAAAAAUUGCCUAUAAGUUCCACCUUCAAUGCAUUAGCAAGAAGACUGUGCCAGAAUAUAUAGUCUCUUCUUCAUCUUUGUCAUAAGAAAGCAAGAUUAACUUGAAUUUGCUACUUUGAUCAUGGCUUUUACAGCAGCAGAACAUGUGCAACGAACUCACGAAGAUCAAAAGUAAGCAAAGGGAGCGGUCCACAAACGAAUAAACGGUCGCUCAGAAACACAACCAGGAUUGUUCAGGUGGAGGAGAUUAAUGUUGUCACAACCUUGAGUGUUGAUGAUGGUGUGAAGAAAAGUGUGGAAGUUGUAGAUGAUAAAGUGGAUCAGAAUCACAAUAUUUGAGUGUGCCUGAAUGCUGUCCUGUGCCAGGAUGGAAUAUCACAGCCAUUUAUGAAAAAAAAAAUCUACAAUCACAUCAUAAUAUGUCUUGAUUAUUCUUGUAUUCAUCUACUAAAUUUUAUUGAUCAAAACAACAGCACCUAUAUACGUCGUCGGAAACCUUAGGUAAUAGGUAGUCGAGAUAGAAUCAACAUUCACACUCAGCCUCUAAAAUAUAAGUGAGCAUAUAUUCCUUUUGUUUUCCAUGUUACUCCUACAGACCGAGACGUUAAUUACAUAAUAAGGUCACUUUAAUUUCUUCA